GAUGAACGCUGACAGAAUGCUUAACACGUGCAAGUCAACUUGAAUUUGGGUUUUUAACUUAGAUUUGGGUGGCGGACGGGUGAGUAACGCGUAAAGAACUUGCCUCACAGCUAGGGACAACAUUUAGAAAUGAAUGCUAAUACCUGAUAUUAUGAUUUUAAGGCAUCUUAGAAUUAUGAAAGCUAUAAGCACUGUGAGAGAGCUUUGCGUCCCAUUAGCUAGUUGGAGAGGUAACAGCUCACCAAGGCGAUGAUGGGUAGCCGGCCUGAGAGGGUGAACGGCCACAAGGGGACUGAGACACGGCCCUUACUCCUACGGGAGGCAGCAGUGGGGAAUAUUGGACAAUGGACUGAGAGUCUGAUCCAGCAAUUCUGUGUGCACGAUGAAGUUUUUCGGAAUGUAAAGUGCUUUCAGUUGGGAAGAAAAAAAUGACGGUACCAACAGAAGAAGUGACGGCUAAAUACGUGCCAGCAGCCGCGGUAAUACGUAUGUCACGAGCGUUAUCCGGAUUUAUUGGGCGUAAAGCGCGUCUAGGUGGUUAUGUAAGUCUGAUGUGAAAAUGCAGGGCUCAACUCUGUAUUGCGUUGGAAACUGUGUAACUAGAGUACUGGAGAGGUAAGCGGAACUACAAGUGUAGAGGUGAAAUUCGUAGAUAUUUGUAGGAAUGCCGAUGGGGAAGCCAGCUUACUGGACAGAUACUGACGCUAAAGCGCGAAAGCGUGGGUAGCAAACAGG
RNAcentral lists this ribosomal RNA (735 nucleotides) under uncultured Fusobacterium sp. Its description in RNAcentral is "bacterial SSU rRNA". It matches the Rfam family "Bacterial small subunit ribosomal RNA", at positions 28 to 776 of the family's 1533-position model. The record is from RNAcentral. Lineage: Bacteria; Fusobacteriati; Fusobacteriota; Fusobacteriia; Fusobacteriales; Fusobacteriaceae.